Molecule: long non-coding RNA, 1004 nt
Organism: Gopherus flavomarginatus (Mexican gopher tortoise)
Lineage: Eukaryota; Metazoa; Chordata; Testudines; Testudinidae
Exons: 3
Source: RefSeq, a predicted model, not a curated record
UUGAUGCUGAUGCUACCUGAUGAGUUGAUAUUCCAAGGAUUAAAGGAACUCAGGUUACAGCUAGGAGAUGAAAAUUUUGAGAAUCUUUAGCAAGUAUCGGCUAAGGGCCCAGGGCUGGAUUUUGCUUUAAUAGCCUAAUCUGGGUAAGGGGUAGCAUGCAGCCUUCUCUGCUCCCGGGGGAGGCAGUCAUUUGUUCCUGGCUCAUAGGAGAUUACUAAUCCCCCCUCAGAAAAACCAAGUUCAUUCUCACAUAUUGCUCCAUUUGCUCACGUAUCUCCCUCACGCAUCAUCACAUUCGCCUCAAUUUAGAUUCAUUCUCUGCAGCAAACUUAUGUUAAAUGCAUAACCAGAAUGCAGUAGGAAUGGCAGCUGGAAAGGAAAGGACCCUGUACCCAGCAAUUCUGCUUUGGUAAAGCUUUGGCUUAUCCCUGAACCCUGGUAUUUAUCUUGGAUUUCACUUCAUCCUACACCUAUUCUCCUGCCCUAUGGUGCUCCCAAUUCACUCUCCAGCCUCCUUUCAACCCCUUCAUACCAUGUUUGGAAUAGCUUCAGUUUCUGCAUGCCAAGCAUCCACCUUACAUUGACUCAUUUGUAGAACCCUGAAAAUCUGCAGAUGUCCACUUUAUAUCCAUGGACCACAUUUGCAGAUUGCGGAUCAGAUGUGGAUACAAAUUUUGUAUCCGCGCAGGGCUAUAUUCCUUGGUACAAUGUUACCAGCUGUGUAAUAAUAUUUGAUGUUUUUCUUGAAGCUCCAGUUCCUGGAGUCCAGGAAACAAUUUGAGACUCUCAGCAUUCAUUUAAAAAAAAAAAAAGGUCUACCCAGUAGAAUUACUUAAGCCUGGUCUACACUAACAAGCAUUCUCCCCAGCUGUUGUCCGCAUUAUGGAUGGUCGGCUCUCCAGGGAACAGACUGCGCCUUCCCACAGGUUAGUACAGUGCCUAGCACAAUGGAGACCUGAUCUGACCAGCAAUAAAUAGCUACAGUCAUACUGAUGAUGGCCGUA